CAUACAAGAAUAAAACUAUGACAAUGACUGGAGCACUUAUCCUCGCAACAUGUAAAAUGAGUAAACAAAAAAAUAAAUACAAAAAUAAUAAACCGCCACCGAUGGAGCAACUCCUUCACUUGGUCUCACUCUCUAAUUCGACAAAAUUUAGAAUUUUUCUCCUACUUACCUUACUCUAGAAUCUUCCUUCAAACUCACUGUCAUAUGACACUUUUCUGUUAUUUUUCCAACCAAAUCUAGAAACACAUUUUGCAUCCUGCUCACAUUCUUGAUAUAUUGCCAGUACAACAGAAAAGGAUCAAUGUGAUUCUGCAGACUGAAAAUGAGACCAGUAUUCCUUGACGAGUUUCCUGAACAACGAUUCUUCUCUCUUCAUCAAGCUCAUUGGCUCGUCAUACUCUGCCAGUUUUCCUGAAAACACAGUCAGUGGUAUCAUAUUCUUCACUUAAAUUUAUCACAGUCAUGUGCCUUAUAUAUUACAUGCUAUCUAUGUGUUAUACAAGGUCGAAAUCUUAAAUAAAA
This 522-nucleotide long non-coding RNA is filed under the name Trifolium pratense (red clover). RNAcentral's name for it is "long non-coding RNA (TPRA_LNC000557)". The record is from RNAcentral. Lineage: Eukaryota; Viridiplantae; Streptophyta; Magnoliopsida; Fabales; Fabaceae.